GUGAAGAACGUAGCGAAAUGCGAUAAGUAAUGUGAAUUGCAGAAUUCAGUGAAUCAUCGAAUCUUUGAACGCACAUUGCGCCCGCCAGUAUUCUGGCGGGCAUGCCUGUUCGAGCGUCAUUUCAACCAUCAAGCCCCAGGCUUGUGUUGGGGACCUGCGGCUGCCGCAGGCCCUGAAAACCAGUGGCGGGCUCGCUGUCACACCGGGCGUAGUAGAUUUUAUCUCGCUCAGGGCGUGCUGCGGGUUCCGGCCGUUAAAAAGCCUUUUUUACCCAAGGUUGACCUCGGAUCAGGUAGGAAGACCCGCUGAACUUAAGCAUAUCAAUAAACGGAGGA
RNAcentral lists this unclassified non-coding RNA (335 nucleotides) under soil metagenome. Its description in RNAcentral is "partial contains 5.8S ribosomal RNA, internal transcribed spacer 2, and large subunit ribosomal RNA". The stretch from base 2 to 119 matches the Rfam family "5.8S ribosomal RNA", at positions 37 to 154 of the family's 154-position model. The record is from RNAcentral.